Non-coding RNA from Pelodiscus sinensis (Chinese soft-shelled turtle), 636 nucleotides. The record is from RefSeq and is a predicted model, not a curated record. Lineage: Eukaryota; Metazoa; Chordata; Testudines; Trionychidae.
UGUUCAAAAUGGCUAGCAGUUCCCUCUAGGUACGGCGUGACCCUGUGCAGGGCAACAGUGAUCACAUGCUCCCCCACCUCCAGGCCCUGCUCUCAGCUGUGAUGAUUGGCCUGGGCAGGGAAGUGUGCAGCUCUCUUGCCCCUCAGAGUUGAACAGCCCUAAGCCACACAUGGAAGGAACCUCCUUGAGCAGCCUGUGGCUGCUGCAGGAGGGAGCGUAUCUUGGGGACCCUGUUGGACUGCUGGCUGGGAGCCACCUAAGAUGGGGAAAUUGAGACAAAGAGAAGUGAAUAACUUCAUCGUGACAGUUCAAUAUAGUGAAUCAACAGUAGAGUCAGAAGCAGAAUGCAGGUUUCCCGAUCCAUCUAUGCAGAGGAAGGACUAUGGCUGCUUUACUGUCUGCACCACUCUAGGAUCAUACAUCAAAUCAGCCACAGUCACCUCAUCCCAGAAAAGCCUCAGAGACAAGGAUUGCUGACUCUUGCACAGACCCCAACUAAUAUACAAAAGAUGACAGGGAAGAAAAAUGCAUGAUAUCAAAUAGGCAUGAAAGUAAAAUUUGUGGGAGACAUCAUUUAUAUUUACAGCAAUGUUUGUGUUGCUCUUGGUAUCCAUAAAUUACACUAGUCAUUAAACU